GCUCAACCGAGGAAGUGCUUCGAAAACUGGUAAACUUGAGUGCAAAAGAAGAAAGUGGAACUCCAUGUGUAGCGGUGGAAUGCGUAAAUAUAUGGAAGAACACCAGUGGCGAAGGCGGCUUUCUGGUCUGUAACUGACGCUGAAAUUCGAAAGCAUGGGUAGCAAACAGGAUUAGAUACCCUGGUAGUCCAUGCCGUAAACGAUGAGUGCUAAGUGUUGGAGGGUUUCCGCCCUUCAGUGCUGCAGCUAACGCAUUAAGCACUCCGCCUGGGGAGUACGAUCGCAAGAUUGAAACUCAAAGGAAUUGACGGGGGCCCGCACAAGCGGUGGAGCAUGUGGUUUAAUUCGAAGCAACGCGAAGAACCUUACCAGGUCUUGACAUACCAUGAAAAGCUAAGAGAUUAGUCUUUCCCUUCGGGGACAUGGAUACAGGUGGUGCAUGGUUGUCGUCAGCUCGUGUCGUGAGAUGUUGGGUUAAGUCCCGCAACGAGCGCAACCCUUAUUAUCAGUUGCCAGCAUUCAGUUGGGCACUCUGGUGAGACUGCCGGUGACAAACCGGAGGAAGGUGGGGACGACGUCAAAUCAUCAUGCCCCUUAUGACCUGCGCUACACACGUGCUACAAUGGUCGGUACAACG
RNAcentral lists this ribosomal RNA (637 nucleotides) under uncultured bacterium. RNAcentral's name for it is "bacterial SSU rRNA". It matches the Rfam family "Bacterial small subunit ribosomal RNA", at positions 607 to 1244 of the family's 1533-position model. The record is from RNAcentral.